CCUACGGGAGGCAGCAGUGGGGAAUAUUGCACAAUGGGGGAAACCCUGAUGCAGCAACGCCGCGUGGGUGAAGGAGCGUUUCGGCGCGUAACGCCCUGUCAGCGGGGAAGAUGAAAGACGGUACCCGACCAAGAAGCCCCGGCUAACUACGUGCCAGCAGCCGGGGUAAUACGUAGGGCGCGAGCGUUAUCCGGAAUUACUGGGUGUAACGGGAGCGUAGACGGUUAUGUAAGUAUGGAGUGAAAGCCCGGGGCCCAACCCCGGGACUGCUUGGGUGACUGUGUAACUGGAGUACAGGAGGGGCAGGCGGAAUGCCUGGUGUAGCGGUGGAAUGCGUAGAUAUCAGGAGGAACACCGGCGGCGAAGGCGGACUGCUGGACUGAAACUGACGUUGAGGCUCGAAAGCGUGGGGAGCAAACAGGAUGAGAUACCCUGGUAGUC
Molecule: ribosomal RNA, 441 nt
Filed under: uncultured bacterium
Lineage: Bacteria
Description: partial 16S ribosomal RNA
Rfam family: Bacterial small subunit ribosomal RNA
Source: RNAcentral